GCGGAUCCCGACUUUGGCGAUCACGAGAGGCUUCUUGUCUAGCACUUUCAGAUGUAAUUCAAGGACGUAAAUUUGAUCAGGUUGAGAAGCACUUAAAAAGAAUAUGGACUACUGCUUACCGUGCGAUGGAUGACAUAAAGGAGUCUGUACGAAAUUCGGGUGACAGAUUAUGCCGGGCUAUUACUAAUCUAACAUUGAGAUUAUGUGAUGUUUCUCUCACACAAGUUUCAGAGGCAACAAAAACAAUGGAGAUUGUGUUGCCGUUACUGCUAUCUGAAGGCAUAAUGAGUAAAGUUGAAAGCAUUCGCAAGGCAUCCAUUGGAGUGGUUACAAAACUCACAAAGGGUGCGGGUGUUGCACUUCGGCCACAUCUACCUGACCUAGUCUGCUGCAUGCUUGAGAGCUUAUCAAGCCUGGAAGACCAAGGGUUAAAUUAUGUUGAGUUGCACGCAGCAAAUGUUGGUAUACAAACUGAAAAGUUUGAAAACCUCCGUAUAUCAAUAGCAAAGGGCUCACCAAUGUGGGAAACUCUUGAUCGUUGCAUUGAUGUUGUUGAUUCCCAGUCAGUGGAGUUAUUA
Molecule: unclassified non-coding RNA, 578 nt
Filed under: Hevea brasiliensis (rubber tree)
Lineage: Eukaryota; Viridiplantae; Streptophyta; Magnoliopsida; Malpighiales; Euphorbiaceae
Source: RNAcentral